CCUACGGGUGGCAGCAGUGAGGAAUAUUGGUCAAUGGCCGCAAGGCUGAACCAGCCAAGUCGCGUGAGGGAUGACGGCGCUACGGGUUGUAAACCUCUUUUAUAAGGGGAUAAAAUGAGGCACGUGUGCCUUUUUGUGUGUACUUUAUGAAUAAGCAUCGGCUAACUCCGUGCCAGCAGCCGCGGUAAUACGGAGGAUCCGAGCGUUAUCCGGAUUUAUUGGGUUUAAAGGGUGCGUAGGUGGGUUGUUAAGUCAGUUGGGAAAGUUUGCGGCUCAACCGUCACAGUGCAAUUGAUACUGGCAGCCUUGAGUACAGUGGAGGCAGGCGGAAUGCGUGGUGUAGCGGUGAAAUGCUUAGAUAUCACGAAGAACCCCGAUUGCGAAGGCAGCUUACCAUACCGCCACUGACAUUGAGGCUCGAAAGUGUGGGUAUCAAACAGGAUUAGAUACCCGUGUAGUC
RNAcentral lists this ribosomal RNA (460 nucleotides) under uncultured bacterium. RNAcentral's name for it is "partial 16S ribosomal RNA". It matches the Rfam family "Bacterial small subunit ribosomal RNA", at positions 338 to 795 of the family's 1533-position model. The record is from RNAcentral.